GACGAACGCUGGCGGCGUACUUAACACAUGCAAGUCGAACGGAAAGGCCCUGCUUGCAGGGUACUCGAGUGGCGAACGGGUGAGUAACACGUGGGUGAUCUGCCCUGCACUUCGGGAUAAGCCUGGGAAACUGGGUCUAAUACCGGAUAGGAGCCAUUUUUAGUGUGAUGGUUGGAAAGUUUUUUCGGUGUAGGAUGAGCUCGCGGCCUAUCAGCUUGUUGGUGGGGUAAUGGCCUACCAAGGCGGCGACGGGUAGCCGGCCUGGGAGGGUGGACGGCCACCUUGGGGCUGAGGUACGGCCCAGACUCCUACGGGAGGCAGCAGUGGGGAAUAUUGCACAAUGGGCGCAAGCCUGAUGCAGCGACGCCGCGUGGGGGAUGACGGCCUUCGGGUUGUAAAAUCCUUUCGCUAGGGACGAAGCUUUUUGUGACGGUACCUAGAUAAGAAGCACCGGCUAACUACGUG
RNAcentral lists this ribosomal RNA (465 nucleotides) under uncultured bacterium. Its description in RNAcentral is "partial 16S ribosomal RNA". It matches the Rfam family "Bacterial small subunit ribosomal RNA", at positions 28 to 507 of the family's 1533-position model. The record is from RNAcentral.